Molecule: ribosomal RNA, 508 nt
Filed under: uncultured bacterium
Lineage: Bacteria
Description: bacterial SSU rRNA
Rfam family: Bacterial small subunit ribosomal RNA
Source: RNAcentral
GACGAACGCUGGCGGCGUGCCUAAUACAUGCAAGUCGAGCGGACCAAAGGGAGCUUGCUCCUGGAGGUCAGCGGCGAACGGGUGAGUAACACGUGGGCAACCUGCCUGUAAGACUGGGAUAACAUCGAGAAAUCGGUGCUAAUACCGGAUAAUAAAAAGAACUGCAUGGUUCUUUUUUGAAAGAUGGUUUCGGCUAUCACUUACAGAUGGGCCCGCGGCGCAUUAGCUAGUUGGUGAGGUAACGGCUCACCAAGGCAACGAUGCGUAGCCGACCUGAGAGGGUGAUCGGCCACACUGGGACUGAGACACGGCCCAGACUCCUACGGGAGGCAGCAGUAGGGAAUCUUCCGCAAUGGACGAAAGUCUGACGGAGCAACGCCGCGUGAGUGAUGAAGGUUUUCGGAUCGUAAAACUCUGUUGUUAGGGAAGAACAAGUGCCGUUCGAAAGGGCGGCACCUUGACGGUACCUAACGAGAAAGCCACGGCUAACUACGUGCCAGCAGCCGCG